AUCUUGAAAAUUAAAAAAUUUGGCGGUAUUUUAGUCUAUUCAGAGGAACCUGUCCUAUAAUUGAUAGUCCACGUUUUUAUUAACUUAUUCUUUUAGUUUACAUAUCGCCGUAGGUUGAAUAUUUUUGUAGAAUAAUAAUGUUCAAAAUUUUAAGUGAAAGAAAAUCAGGUCAAGGUGUAGCUUAUGGAUAAGAAGAGAUGGGUUACAAUAAAAUUAAUUAAACGGAUAAAUUUUUGUAAUAGAGUUUUGAAGGUGGAUUUGAAAGUAAUUUUAUUUAAAUUUUUAAGAUGAUUUUAGCUCUAAAAUAUGCACAUAUCGCCCGUCACUUUCAUUUUAAAAUGAAAUAAGUCGUAACAUAGUAGAUGUACUGGAAAGUGUCUCUAGAAAGAUCGAAUUAAAGCUUUAAAAGCAUUUUAGUUACAUUAAAAAGAUUAUUGUAGAUUCAGUAUAAUUCGAAAGUAAAUAGUUAUUAAAAAUAUAUUUAAAGUAAUUUAUUGUUUUUUUAAAAAAAGUAAUUUUUUGUUUUAUUAGACUAUUCGAAUAAAUUUAGAUUAUUAUAGAUAAUUAGUAUUGAAAAAGAAAUUUUGUUUUUGUUUGAAAGAAGAAUUAAAUUUUUGUACCUGGGUAUCAGGGUUUAUUAAUUAAAAUUUAAAAAUUAUUAAAUUUCUCGAAUUUAAAAGAGCUAUAAAUAGUAUAUUUUUUAUUGUAGAAUAAAUAUUAUAAAUACAUUUAUAGAAGUGAAAUGCUAUUCGAUUUUAAAUAUAUCUAGUUUUUUAAGAAAAAAAUUUAAUUUUAUUCUUAUUUUAUUAUUAAACUAAAUUUUUAGUUUAAUAAUAAUAAGAUUUUAUAUUCUAAGGGAUGAGCUUUAGAGUAUAGUUUAUAAAAUUUAUCUAAGAUUUUUAGAAAGUGGGAUUAUAAGUUUUCAUCUUUAUUAGUGUAUUAUAACUAACUAAAAUUAAAAUAAAAUUUUUAUAUAAAUUUAUAUAUUUUAUUAAAAUAUAUACUUUAAUUAUAAAAGUAUAGUAAUAAUGAUAAAAUUAGUAUAAUUUUAUGUUUAUAGAAAAUAUAAAUUAAAGGUUGAGUAAAGGAACUCGGCAAAUGGACUUUUCACCUGUUUAUUAAAAACAUGGCCUUUUGAGAUUAAUUUAAGGUCUGGUCUGCCCAAUGAUUUUAUUGAAUGGCCGCGGUAUUUUGACCGUGCAAAGGUAGCAUAAUCAUUAGUUUCUUAAUUAGAAGCUUGUAUGAAAGGCUGGAUGAGAAAGUAGCUGUCUUUAUUUAAAUUUAUUAGAAUUUUAUUUUUAAGUCAAAAAGCUUAAAUAAUUAUAGAAGACGAGAAGACCCUAUAGAGUUUUAUACUUUGUUUAUAUAAAGUUUUUAGAAUUUU
This 1384-nucleotide ribosomal RNA is filed under the name Tranes lyterioides. RNAcentral's name for it is "partial 16S ribosomal RNA". The stretch from base 1 to 391 matches the Rfam family "Microsporidia small subunit ribosomal RNA", at positions 768 to 1311 of the family's 1311-position model. Lineage: Eukaryota; Metazoa; Arthropoda; Insecta; Coleoptera; Curculionidae. The record is from RNAcentral.